This 391-nucleotide ribosomal RNA is filed under the name Xenomyrmex stollii. Its description in RNAcentral is "partial 28S ribosomal RNA". Lineage: Eukaryota; Metazoa; Arthropoda; Insecta; Hymenoptera; Formicidae. The record is from RNAcentral.
GUGCGUCGAUGUCCGGCGUUCGUCGUCGUANACUUCUUCUCUAAUAGAACGUCGCGAUCCGCUGGGUGUUGGUCUACGGNCCGGGUGCGGUGACUGACGCAUCGCCGGUAAAACGGCACGCGUCAAACCCUCGAUCGCCCGGCCGGCUGCCCGGCGGUACACGCAUGAUAUCAGGCCACAUCUUUCAUUUGGCGACGAGUGCGUCGAGGCCAUCGCAAGCGCGCGCCAUAGUACACGGAGGCUAACGGACCUAGUGCCGUCACCGGUCCUGGCCCGCUGUUGGUCGUACGGUUAACUUUCGACAGGCCUACCUACGUUCCAAGAAACUUGUGUCUCGGGGAACCGAUACCGGUCGGCGACGUUACUGCUUUGGGUACUCUUUGGACCCGUC